RNAcentral lists this ribosomal RNA (800 nucleotides) under uncultured bacterium. Its description in RNAcentral is "bacterial SSU rRNA". It matches the Rfam family "Bacterial small subunit ribosomal RNA", at positions 8 to 800 of the family's 1533-position model. The record is from RNAcentral.
AGAGUUUGAUCCUGGCUCAGAUUGAACGCUGGCGGCGUGCUUAACACAUGCAAGUCGAUCGGUAACAGGUGUAGCAAUACAUGCUGACGAGAGGCGGACGGGUGAGGAAUAUUUGGGAAUCUGCCCAUCAGCGGGGGACAACCCGGGGAAACUCGGGCUAAUACCGCAUACGCUCUACGGAGGAAAGCCGGGGACCGCAAGGCCUGGCACUGAUGGAUGAGCCCAAAUCGGAUUAGCUAGUUGGCGGGGUAACGGCCCACCAAGGCGACGAUCCGUAGCUGGUCUGAGGGGACGAUCAGCCACACCGGAACUGAGACACGGUCCGGACUCCUACGGGAGGCAGCAGUGGGGAAUAUUGGACAAUGGGGGAAACCCUGAUCCAGCGACGCCGCGUGGGUGAAGAAGGCCUGCGGGUUGUAAAGCCCUUUCGGUAGGGAAGAAAUCUCUUGUCUUAACACGGCAGGAGUUUGACUUAACCUACAUAAGAAGCACCGGCUAACUCUGUGCCAGCAGCCGCGGUAAUACAGAGGGUGCGAGCGUUAAUCGGAAUUACUGGGCGUAAAGCGCACGUAGUCGGCUUGCCCAAGUCGGGUGUGAAAUCCCCGGGCUCAACCUGGGAACUGCAUCCGAAACUGGCUUGCUAGAGUAUGGGAGAGGGAGGCGGAAUUUCUGGUGUAGCAGUGAAAUGCGUAGAUAUCAGAAGGAACAUCAGUGGCGAAGGCGGCCUCCUGGACCAAUACUGACGAUCAGGUGCGAAAGCGUGGGGAGCAAACAGGAUUAGAUACCCUGGUAGUCCACGC